This is a non-coding RNA of Ceratotherium simum simum (southern white rhinoceros), 107 nucleotides long. The record is from RefSeq and is a predicted model, not a curated record. Lineage: Eukaryota; Metazoa; Chordata; Mammalia; Perissodactyla; Rhinocerotidae.
CCUUUUGGGAAAAAAAAAGUCAGGCCUAAUUAGUUUUACACCAAAUGGCUUCCUCAUAUCUUCCAAUAUAUCCUAUUCCUUGCCAUUUAUAUUGGUCAGAGGAAAUA